CGCGGCCUAUCAGCUUGUUGGUGGGGUAACGGCUCACCAAGGCAUCGACGGGUAGCUGGUCUGAGAGGACGAUCAGCCACACUGGGACUGAGACACGGCCCAGACUCCUGCGGGAGGCAGCAGUGGGGAAUCUUGCGCAAUGGGCGAAAGCCUGACGCGGCAACGCCGCGUGGGGGAUGAAGGCUCUCGGGUUGUAAACCCCUUUCAUCAGGGACGAAAUUGACGGUACCUGAAGAAGAAGCGCCGGCCAACUACGUGCCAGCAGCCGCGGUAAUACGUAGGGCGCAAGCGUUGUCCGGAUUCAUUGGGCGUAAAGGGCUCGUAGGCGGUUUGGUAAGUCGGGUGUGAAAACUCAGGGCUCAACUCUGAGACGCCACUCGAUACUGCCAUGGCUAGAGUCCGGUAGGGGAGUGUAGAAUUCCUGGUGUAGCGGUGAAAUGCGCAGAUAUCAGGAGGAAUACCGAUAGCGAAGGCAGCACUCUGGGCCGGUACUGACGCUGAGGAGCGAAAGCGUGGGGAGCAAACAGGAUUAGAUACCCUGGUAGUCCACGCCGUAAACGUUGGGCACUAGGUGUGGGUUCCAUCCAACGGGAUCCGUGCCGUAGCUAACGCAUUAAGUGCCCCGCCUGGGGAGUACGG
RNAcentral lists this ribosomal RNA (639 nucleotides) under uncultured bacterium. RNAcentral's name for it is "bacterial SSU rRNA". It matches the Rfam family "Bacterial small subunit ribosomal RNA", at positions 232 to 885 of the family's 1533-position model. The record is from RNAcentral.